GUGCAGCAGUCGAAAUCUUCGGCAAUGGGCGCAAGCCUGACCGAGCGACGCCGCGUGGAGGACGAAGGCCUUCGGGUUGUAAACUCCUGUCGAGGGGAAGAAGGUCCGCAAGGGCUUGACUGAUCCCUGGAGGAAGCACGGGCUAAGUUCGUGCCAGCAGCCGCGGUAAGACGAACCGUGCGAACGUUAUUCGGAAUCACUGGGCUUAAAGCGCGUGUAGGUGGGGCGGCACGUCGGUCGCUGAAAUCCCCCGGCGUAACCGGGUAACGGGCGGCCGACUACGACCGCCCUUCGUAGGGGCGGUAGGGGGGCGGGU
Molecule: ribosomal RNA, 316 nt
Filed under: uncultured organism
Description: bacterial SSU rRNA
Rfam family: Bacterial small subunit ribosomal RNA
Source: RNAcentral